This 466-nucleotide ribosomal RNA is filed under the name uncultured bacterium. RNAcentral describes it as "partial 16S ribosomal RNA". It matches the Rfam family "Bacterial small subunit ribosomal RNA", at positions 28 to 507 of the family's 1533-position model. The record is from RNAcentral.
GACGAACGCUGGCGGCGCGCCUAACACAUGCGAGUCGAACGAGCGAGAGAGAGCUUGCUUUCUCGAGCGAGUGGCGAACGGGUGAGUAACGCGUGAGGAACCUGCCUCAAAGAGGGGGACAACAGUUGGAAACGACUGCUAAUACCGCAUAAGCCCACGGUGCCGCAUGGCACAGAGGGAAAAGGAGCAAUCCGCUUUGAGAUGGCCUCGCGUCCGAUUAGCUAGUUGGUGAGGUAAUGGCCCACCAAGGCGACGAUCGGUAGCCGGACUGAGAGGUUGAACGGCCACAGUGGGACUGAGACACGGCCCAGACUCCUACGGGAGGCAGCAGUGGGGAAUAUUGCACAAUGGGGGAAACCCUGAUGCAGCGACGCCGCGUGGAGGAAGAAGGUCUUCGGAUUGUAAACUCCUGUUGUUGGGGAAGAUAAUGACGGUACCCAACAAGGAAGUGACGGCUAACUACGUG